Molecule: ribosomal RNA, 375 nt
Filed under: uncultured bacterium
Lineage: Bacteria
Description: bacterial SSU rRNA
Rfam family: Bacterial small subunit ribosomal RNA
Source: RNAcentral
UACGAAGGGGGCUAGCGUUGCUCGGAAUGACUGGGCGUAAAGGGCGCGUAGGCGGUGAACACAGUUAGGCGUGAAAUUCCCGGGCUCAACCUGGGGGCUGCGUUUAAUACAUGUUCGCUUGAGUUCGGAAGAGGGUCGUGGAAUUCCCAGUGUAGAGGUGAAAUUCGUAGAUAUUGGGAAGAACACCGGUGGCGAAGGCGGCGACCUGGUCCGAUACUGACGCUGAGGCGCGAAAGCGUGGGGAGCAAACAGGAUUAGAUACCCUGGUAGUCCACGCCGUAAACGAUGUGUGCUGGAUGUUGGGCAGUCUGACUGCUCAGUGUCGUAGCUAACGCGAUAAGCACACCGCCUGGGGAGUACGGCCGCAAGGUUGAA